RNAcentral lists this ribosomal RNA (464 nucleotides) under uncultured bacterium. RNAcentral describes it as "partial 16S ribosomal RNA". It matches the Rfam family "Bacterial small subunit ribosomal RNA", at positions 28 to 506 of the family's 1533-position model. The record is from RNAcentral.
GACGAACGCUGGCGGCGUGCUUAACACAUGCAAGUCGAACGGAAAGGCCCUGCUUGCAGGGUACUCGAGUGGCGAACGGGUGAGUAACACGUGGGUGAUCUGCCCUGCACUUCGGGAUAAGCCUGGGAAACUGGGUCUAAUACCGGAUAGGAGCCACUUUUAGCGUGAUGGUUGGAAAGUUUUUUCGGUGUAGGAUGAGCUCGCGGCCUAUCAGCUUGUUGGUGGGGUAAUGGCCUACCAAGGCGGCGACGGGUAGCCGGCCUGAGAGGGUGGACGGCCACAUUGGGCCUGAGGUACGGCCCAGACUCCUACGGGAGGCAGCAGUGGGGAAUAUUGCACAGUGGGCGCAAGCCUGAUGCAGCGACGCCGCGUGGGGGAUGACGGCCUUCGGGUUGUAAACUCCUUUCGCUAGGGACGAAGCUUUUUGUGACGGUACCUAGAUAAGAAGCACCGGCUAACUACGU